UGCUGUUCCCAGCUCCUGGGUUACUCCUCCUACUCCUCCUCAUGCAGAUCCAUUUCACCUAACUCGAAUAUAUUCUCAAGACUCAGGUGAGAUGACACUUCCUCCAGGAAGCCUUCACUGACUUCCUUCACUAUCACAUUGAUCAUACCAGACGGAAAGCUCCAUGAGGACAGGCACCAUGGCUGUCACAACUCACUUUGGACUGUCUGUAUCCAAAAAAGAACUGGCAAUAGAAUAUGGGUUGUAAAUCCCUCCAGAAAGAAUAAAAGGCAUAGAAAGACUUCUCCUCUCCAUGCUGAUUUGAGUCUUCUUCUUAGGCCCAGCGUAUGACUCUGUAUCAUAUACACAUUAACUACAUCCUGAGUUUCUAGAAGCCAUGCUUUUAAUUUACAUGGUUAUAAUAUUGAACUCAAAUCUGAUAUUUCCACUGAGCUUUAACAUUUCCUUUUCUCGUUCGUUCUUUUUUCACUUUCACAAUAACCAUUAGGACAUCACUAUCCUCAUUUUACACAGGAAAAAUGAGACAGAAAGACCUGAGUUAAGUUUCUUGGACAACCAAGUGCAAAUUGCAAGUCUCUAAAUGAGUCUCCAAUCUCUCAGCCUAGGACUGUUUCUCAGAAGGAAGUCAGAUGAACGAACACUCUAAUUACUAAAAAUUUUGCUUUAAAAAUGCAGGUUGCCUUUCAUAGAUGACUGAUGCUUUCACUUCAUCACCCAGGCAUCUUGGUGAUCUUCUCCUGGCUCCCCGAUCCAGGACUGACUCCUCUUCCUGUCCACUUCCAUCAAUACACGCGCCUUCAAAAGGCAGGAGGAAGGGAGGCACAGGGUGGAGGCUGCAGUGGCCAGAGAAGCAGGUCGGGCAUGGAGCUGAAUCAUAAUAAAGACCAUUCAUUCAUUUGUUCAUUCCACAAAUAUUCUCCCAGGGUCCGCUGUGUGCCUGGCAGGCUUCUACAGCCAGCAUCAGCUAGAAAACUGGCCUUGCUCAACGCAAAGUGACGAUAUGAGAUUCAUUGUCCACAAGCCGUUAGAAGCUUCACAAUGGUGGUGCAGAGCGUUAAACCAACUGCGGAUCCUUCUGAGCAGGGACACCCUUCUCAGCCCUUCUGAGCCCAGCCCAAUAGCACUGGGCUGGUGGGGCCAGCCCUAUCUGGGUUUGGGGAUACGGUCGUGAACACAUCUGAACAAACAUGCCUGCCUUCAGGGGACCUCACAGUUUGAUGGAGAGAGUUGUUGUUGUUGUUCACCCACUGUCCAACUCUUUGCGACCCCAUGAACUGCAGCACACCAGGCUUCCCUGUCCUUCACUAUCUUUCGGAGUUUGCUCA
RNAcentral lists this long non-coding RNA (1325 nucleotides) under Bos indicus x Bos taurus (hybrid cattle). RNAcentral's name for it is "lncRNA (ENSBIXG00005006683.1)". The record is from RNAcentral. Lineage: Eukaryota; Metazoa; Chordata; Mammalia; Artiodactyla; Bovidae.